This 1501-nucleotide ribosomal RNA is filed under the name uncultured Kluyvera sp. RNAcentral describes it as "bacterial SSU rRNA". It matches the Rfam family "Bacterial small subunit ribosomal RNA". The record is from RNAcentral. Lineage: Bacteria; Pseudomonadati; Pseudomonadota; Gammaproteobacteria; Enterobacterales; Enterobacteriaceae.
CCGUGAACGCUGGCGGCAGGCCUAACACAUGCAAGUCGAACGGUAGCACAGAGAGCUUGCUCUUGGGUGACGAGUGGCGGACGGGUGAGUAAUGUCUGGGAAACUGCCCGAUGGAGGGGGAUAACUACUGGAAACGGUAGCUAAUACCGCAUAACGUCUUCGGACCAAAGUGGGGGACCUUCGGGCCUCACACCAUCGGAUGUGCCCAGAUGGGAUUAGCUAGUAGGUGGGGUAAUGGCUCACCUAGGCGACGAUCCCUAGCUGGUCUGAGAGGAUGACCAGCCACACUGGAACUGAGACACGGUCCAGACUCCUACGGGAGGCAGCAGUGGGGAAUAUUGCACAAUGGGCGCAAGCCUGAUGCAGCCAUGCCGCGUGUAUGAAGAAGGCCUUCGGGUUGUAAAGUACUUUCAGCGAGGAGGAAGGCAUUAAGGUUAAUAACCUUGGUGAUUGACGUUACUCGCAGAAGAAGCACCGGCUAACUCCGUGCCAGCAGCCGCGGUAAUACGGAGGGUGCAAGCGUUAAUCGGAAUUACUGGGCGUAAAGCGCACGCAGGCGGUCUGUCAAGUCGGAUGUGAAAUCCCCGGGCUCAACCUGGGAACUGCAUUCGAAACUGGCAGGCUAGAGUCUUGUAGAGGGGGGUAGAAUUCCAGGUGUAGCGGUGAAAUGCGUAGAGAUCUGGAGGAAUACCGGUGGCGAAGGCGGCCCCCUGGACAAAGACUGACGCUCAGGUGCGAAAGCGUGGGGAGCAAACAGGAUUAGAUACCCUGGUAGUCCACGCCGUAAACGAUGUCGACUUGGAGGUUGUGCCCUUGAGGCGUGGCUUCCGGAGCUAACGCGUUAAGUCGACCGCCUGGGGAGUACGGCCGCAAGGUUAAAACUCAAAUGAAUUGACGGGGGCCCGCACAAGCGGUGGAGCAUGUGGUUUAAUUCGAUGCAACGCGAAGAACCUUACCUACUCUUGACAUCCAGAGAACUUAGCAGAGAUGCUUUGGUGCCUUCGGGAACUCUGAGACAGGUGCUGCAUGGCUGUCGUCAGCUCGUGUUGUGAAAUGUUGGGUUAAGUCCCGCAACGAGCGCAACCCUUAUCCUUUGUUGCCAGCGGUUCGGCCGGGAACUCAAAGGAGACUGCCAGUGAUAAACUGGAGGAAGGUGGGGAUGACGUCAAGUCAUCAUGGCCCUUACGAGUAGGGCUACACACGUGCUACAAUGGCAUAUACAAAGAGAAGCGACCUCGCGAGAGCAAGCGGACCUCAUAAAGUAUGUCGUAGUCCGGAUUGGAGUCUGCAACUCGACUCCAUGAAGUCGGAAUCGCUAGUAAUCGUAGAUCAGAAUGCUACGGGUGAAUACGUUCCCGGGGCCUUGUACACACCGCCCCGUCACACCCAUGGGGAGUGGGGUUGCAAAAAGAAAGUAGGGUAGCUUUAACCCUUCGGGGAGGGGCGCUUUACCCACUUUUGGUGAUUUCAUGGACUGGGGGGUGAAAGUCGUAACAGGGGG